Molecule: ribosomal RNA, 250 nt
Filed under: uncultured bacterium
Lineage: Bacteria
Description: partial 16S ribosomal RNA
Rfam family: Bacterial small subunit ribosomal RNA
Source: RNAcentral
GAUAAACGCUGGCGGCGUGCAUAACACAUGCAAGUCGAACGAUGAAGUUUUCAUGAAUUCUUCGGAAUGAUUAAAAAUGGAUUAGUGGCGGACGGGUGAGUAACGCGUGAGUAACCUGCCUUGUACAAGGGGAUAGCCGUUGGAAACGACGAAUAAUACCCUAUGAUAUCAAAUAAUCGCAUGAUAAUUUGAUCAAAGAUUUAUCGGUAUAAGAUGGACUCGCGUCUGAUUAGCUAGUUGGCGGGGUAAC